AAAACUUUCAACAACGGAUCUCUUGGUUCUGGCAUCGAUGAAGAACGCAGCGAAAUGCGAUAAGUAAUGUGAAUUGCAGAAUUCAGUGAAUCAUCGAAUCUUUGAACGCACAUUGCGCCCAUUUAGUAUUCUAGUGGGCAUGCCUGUUCGAGCGUCAUUU
RNAcentral lists this ribosomal RNA (160 nucleotides) under Microdochium sp. 5/97-37. RNAcentral's name for it is "5.8S ribosomal RNA". It matches the Rfam family "5.8S ribosomal RNA". Rfam says of the family: 5.8S ribosomal RNA (5.8S rRNA) is a component of the large subunit of the eukaryotic ribosome. It is transcribed by RNA polymerase I as part of the 45S precursor that also contains 18S and 28S rRNA. Functionally, it is thought that 5.8S rRNA may be involved in ribosome translocation. Lineage: Eukaryota; Fungi; Ascomycota; Sordariomycetes; Xylariales; Microdochiaceae. The record is from RNAcentral.